AGAACCCUUCUGUGUUCGUGAAUUGGCGAUUUCCUCGACCUUUCUAUGAAUACGGGGGCUGUUGCCAUCAGGUAGCUAAGAUUCUGCCCUUUGCGAAGGGACCUUCGAGGCCACCGGCUUGCCCCCCCUUUGAACUCCGGUUCAAGGACUCAGCCUUAACGGCAUGGCAGGGUUCUU
RNAcentral lists this non-coding RNA (177 nucleotides) under Kiritimatiellota bacterium B12222. RNAcentral describes it as "6S RNA". It matches the Rfam family "6S / SsrS RNA". From Rfam's summary of the family: E. coli 6S RNA was the first non coding RNA to be sequenced, but its function was unknown until recently. The record is from RNAcentral. Lineage: Bacteria; Pseudomonadati; Kiritimatiellota.